RNAcentral lists this unclassified non-coding RNA (21 nucleotides) under Chlamydomonas reinhardtii. RNAcentral's name for it is "small RNA Cre_4027". The record is from RNAcentral. Lineage: Eukaryota; Viridiplantae; Chlorophyta; Chlorophyceae; Chlamydomonadales; Chlamydomonadaceae.
UUGGUGACCUCUCGCUUCGGG